Molecule: long non-coding RNA, 956 nt
Filed under: Homo sapiens (human)
Lineage: Eukaryota; Metazoa; Chordata; Mammalia; Primates; Hominidae
Description: HSALNT0378532
Source: RNAcentral
GAAGGCAGUAUGCUUGGUAAAAGUCAUCGCCAUUCUCUAAUCUUGAGUACCCAGGGACACGAUACACUGCGGAAGGCUGCAGGGACCUCUGCCCAGGAAAGCCAGGAUCCAGUAUCUGCCGGAGGAGCCCCACCUUCUGCUACUAUUAUGUUCUUCAGAUGAGUAGAAGAGAGUGGGGAGGGAGAGAGCAGGAAGAAGAAAGGAAGAAUAAUGUCUUGAAAUUGUUUUCUAAGGAUAAUGGUCUCCAGCUUCGUCAAUGUUCCUGCAAAGGACAUGAUGCUGACUUUGAAGAUGCAAGCUUCCACAUCUACAGCCUCAAGGAAACAAAUUCAGCCAACCAACUGAGGGAGCUUUCCUUGUCCUGCCUCAAGAUGAGAUCACAGUCUGCCCAACACCAUGAUUUAGGCCUUGUGACACCUGAGCUCAGAUGGAAAAGAAUGGUGUUACUGAGACCCUUCAAGAUUCCCAGUGUAAUUCAAUAAAGAAAAGGCAACACAAAGGGGUUGUAUAGAAUUCGCCACAUUAUGGACCCAUGUCAUAGAGAGAAUCCACGGUGCAUUUGUUAGCUGCAUUUAAAUGACAACACUUUCAGAUCCAAGAUUUAUUUGGGAUAAAAAUUUACCUGGAUGCAAGGCUAUUCAGAAUGAAGAUUAAUGAUAUGGUUUGGCUGUGUCCCCACCCAAACUUCAUCUUGAAUUCCCACGUGUUGUGAGAGGGACCUGGUGGGAGAUAAUUGAACCAUGGGGGCAGGUCUUUCUCAUGCUGUUCUCAUGAGAGUGAAUAAGUCUCAUGAAACCUGAUGGUUUUAUAAGGGGGAAUUUCCCUGCACAAGCUCUCUCUCUGCCUUUUGCCAUCCAUGUAAGACGUGACUUGGUCCUCCUUGCCUUCUACCAUGAUUAUGAGGCCUCCCCAGCCACGUGGAACUGUGAGUCCAUUAAACCUCUUUCUUUUGUAAA